UCUGGUUGAUCCUGGCGGAGGCCAUUGCUAUUGGGAUCCGAUUUAGCCAUGCUAGUCGUUCUAGUUGAGACUCGUGGCGAAUAGCUCAGUAACACGUGGCCAAACUACCCUUCGGACCGCAAUACCCUCGGGAAACUGAGGUUAAUAGCGGACACCACACGCAGACUGGAAUGUCGCGUGUGCCAAAUGCUCCGGCGCCGAAGGAUGUGGCUGCGGCCGAUUAGGUAGACGGUGGGGUAACGGCCCACCGUGCCAAUAAUCGGUACGGGUCAUGAGAGUGAGAACCCGGAGACGGAAUCUGAGACAAGAUUCCGGGCCCUACGGGGCGCAGCAGGCGCGAAACCUUUACACUGCACGCCAGUGCGAUAAGGGGAUCCCAAGUGCGUAGGCAUGGAGCCUACGCUUUUGUCCACCCUAGGGUGGUGGACGAAUAAGGGCUGGGCAAGACCGGUGCCAGCCGCCGCGGUAAUACCGGCAGCCCGAGUGAUGGCCGAUCUUAUUGGGCCUAAAGCGUCCGUAGCUGGCCGCACAAGUCCAUCGGGAAAUCCACCUGCUCAACAGGUGGGCGUCCGGUGGAAACUGUGUGGCUUGGGACCGGAAGGCGCGACGGGUACGUCCGGGGU
Molecule: ribosomal RNA, 623 nt
Filed under: uncultured archaeon
Lineage: Archaea
Description: bacterial SSU rRNA
Rfam family: Archaeal small subunit ribosomal RNA
Source: RNAcentral